Molecule: long non-coding RNA, 2468 nt
Organism: Acinonyx jubatus (cheetah)
Lineage: Eukaryota; Metazoa; Chordata; Mammalia; Carnivora; Felidae
Exons: 3
Source: RefSeq, a predicted model, not a curated record
AGCGAGUGGCUGGUGAGCUCCGGGUCUGACUCUACGAGGACUGGACAGAAAUGCAGAAGAGAAGCAGGGUCACCGGAGACAGGAAAGUUCCAGGGGCCUCAGGGGCCCGUGGGGGAGGGUUCACCGGGCCAGACGCCCAGAAGGCCGGCCAUCCUGCCCACGAGUCUACAGGCCGCUUCUGGGUUGCUGCUUAUGGUUUUGCUUGAGAAAAGUCUUGGGUGCACGUUAGUUUUGCCAAGACGGCACACGGGCCGCGUGCCCUGUGCCCGCUUUCCCUGGGUCACCGCCUUAUAUGGCUUGCUGUCGCUGCCACAGUCAGGAGCCCAACACUGACGCGUUAUGUUUACCUAACCCAAGGACUUUCAUCUAACGUCUCCUUUGACCUUGUACUGUGUGGGACACCACAUGACUCAGCCGUCACGCCUCCCAGGGCUCCUCCUGCCCGGCAAUUCGGCCCACCUUCCUGGGUUCUGACCCCGACAGCAAAGUGCCCUCUGCUGGCGUGUGCGGGACGUUUCCCUCCUGAGGAGCCUGGGAGCGGGUUUGGGGAGGGUGGUCUCAGAGGUGAAGUGACAUCUUCACAACACGUGUCCAGGGUGCAGGCCGUCACGCGCCCUGUCACUGUUGGCACUGACCUUGGUCCCCUGGCGGGGCCGUCUGUCAGGUCCCUCCCUGUAGCUAUGACGUCACCGUGCACAGCCCGCACCUAAGGACAGAGAGGGCGCUCCCCUCUCGGAGGACAGGGUAUCCACAGAAACUCUUGUCUGCGGGGGAUUUGUCUCUUCUCUCCCGUUUAUUUAAGAAACAACUUUUUAAAGAGGAUCUUGUAUCUUGGUGCGGGUGUCGGUGCCCGCUACGGACAGUGUGGAAUGUCCCUCGUGUCAGGCGCAUGAGGGUGACCCGCCCCCACUGGGUCUCUAUGGGCAUGAUCAGGAGUCCGAGGUCACCUUGUCAGCAGCCCCCUCCCUCCAGGAAGGACAGAGACCGUCUCUGACCAGCACCCGCCCCCGCCCUGCACCGAGACCGCGGCCACUCACCAGGUCGGCGGACACGGCGGUCGUGAUCAGGGCGUAUGGCCCGCUGACCAGGGCCCCGCUGAGCAGCAGCAUGGCUGUGGGAACCAGAAACCAGAAGGAGGGAUUCAGCAGCGGAACGGUGCCCUCUGGGAGAGCCCCCACGGUCUCGGCAGCCCCCGGGUGAGCGCCCUGGUGUCACGCGCGGGUCUGGCCUGAGUGCGAUGUGGGCGGGUGCUGGGAAGGAGGCCCGCACGCCUGGGGUGCGGUGACUGCCGACUGCUGGGGCCAGCGUGGUGAGCUUCUUCCUUUAAACCUGCCCCAGGUACGCCUGCAAGUCCCAAUCACAGGACCUGCUGCUCCGUUUCCUCGACCCUCAACUGGCGGCGACUGUUGAGAGCCUGGAGGGACCAGAAGCCCGGUGUCCCGAGUACGGAUGUGCCGGGGGUGUGUGAAUGCUCCCUGUGGUCAGUGCCGGCUGGCGCUAACCCCAGCCUUGGCCUGCUUUGCAGUGGGAGGGUGUCUGUCUGUCUGUCUCUCUCUGUGCCCGCAGCUGUGGAUGGCUGCCCCCGAGGGACACCCGGAUACCCAGAGCCACCGAGCUCCCACGGGCAGGAAGCUUCUGGACCAGUGGGUCACGGGAAACCCACAGCUCCUCGUGUCAGCAAUCUGACUUUUGGAUGACUUCUAACGGGAUCACACACAGCCUGCCUCCCUCCCGAUCACCACUGCUGGCUGCUUAAGACAGAAAAGAUAUUUACCAGGGCGCCUGGGUGGCUCAGCUGGUUAAGCAUCUGACUCUUGAUUUCGGCUCAGGGCGUGAUCUCACGGUUUUCAAGACCGAGCCCUGAGUCAGGUUCUGUGCUGACAGUGCAGAGCCCUCGUGGGAUCCUCUCCCUCUCUCUCUGCCCCUCCCCUGCUUGUGCACACACACGCUCUCUCUCUCUCAAAAUAAAUUUAAAAACUCAAAAAAAAAAAAAAAAAAAAAAGAGGGGCACCUGGGUGGCUUAGUUGGUGAAACGCCUGGUUCUGCUCAGGUCAUGAUCUCACAGUUCAUGAGUUCGAGCCCCUCAUCCGGCCCUGUGCUGACAGUGCAGAGCCUGCUUGGGAUUCUCUCCCCCUUCUCUCUCUCCCCCUUCUCUCUCUGUCUCUGCUCUCUCUCUCUCCUCUGAAAAUAAAUAAACAUUAAAAAAAAUCCUUCCCAAGUGUCAGAACCAUAUCUGAUGGUACUGCUUGCAGGAAGUAAAGAAUCGUCCUCCAGCGUCCUGCACCCGCUCUCAGGAAGGCAGCUGGCGGAGGGCAGCUGGGAGUCUGGCCCCUGCCGGGCUCUGGCCUGUCCUCACCUGCUGGGGUGCAGGUCUCGGGGUGGAGCCCUGCCUCUGCCUUCCGGGGGGGACACGUGGCUUCUCAGAGUGCCUCCUCGCGGCCCUGGAGCGGGUGGCCCGUGCUCUCCCA